GGUCGAUUGUUUGACUCAUCGGAGGUGUCCUGAGGUUUCCCGGGCUGCAGCAGACAAUCAGCACAUUGUCACCAGGGCUGCAUCAUGGAGCAGGGGAGCUGCCGGGCCGAGAGACCCGGGUCUGGACCUGUCGGGGCCCCACUGACUGCAAUGUGCCUCCACGUGAAGACCAAGCCCUGCCACGGGGGCUGGAGAGCUCCUGGCCUCCUGCUGCUGCUGGCACUGGCCACCGCUGGGGCUGUGGCUGGAGGGCUUCUUGGCUUCGCUCACAGCCCUCUCAAGCCACUGCUGCAGACGCUCCGUCUGACCCUCCCGAGCCCCAGGGUACCCUGGUCCAACCAAACCGAACAGGUGGACGUGGCCCAGAACGUGGCAACCAUCAGGGUGACUCCAGCUCAGAGCAACCGCAGCUGGGCAGUGCUGUUCGACGGGCAGAGCGGUUGUGUCUGUUACCGCCCCUCAGAGCACCGGGCCUGCUUCCUCCGCCUGAUGGAACCCCGAGACCGCGAGACCCUGCAGCUGCUGGUGAACACCUCUUGGGUAAGGAGCCUCCAGCCAGGGGCCAGACAAAGGGUCCUGUGUGUGGUCUGGGCCCGGGGCAGGAUGGGGCUCCAGUUUCAGGGGAACAGAAGCUCUAUCUUCCUUUGGUUGAGGCUGCCGACAAGAGCCAGGGCAGGGCUGGCACAAUGCCAGCAUGUCCAGGGACAUGUGGGCCCAACCCAGCCAGGGGCAGUGCGAGUGUCCUUCUCUGCAGCCCCAAGGGACUCGCAGCCCCAGCCAGGACACCCACUAUGCCCAGGAGCUGCUGGCAGUGCUUGGGAGCCGUGAGGUGGACCCUGCCCAGGUGGGGGCUUCUGUGCGGAACCUUUGUGCAAAGACCCCCAUUUACUGGGCCCGACGAGCAGAGAGGCCCCAGAGGCAGCGGCUGAUCUACCUAUGCAUCGACAUCUGCUUCCCAAGCAACAUCUGCAUGUCCGUCUGCUUUUAUUACCUCCCGGACUAAGCCCUUGCAGCGCAGCCCCUCAGGCCAGCCAGCUGGCUGGCGCGAUCACCAGUCCAUGGAGG
Globicephala melas (long-finned pilot whale) is the source of this 1065-nucleotide RNA transcript. It is a transcript of the gene named BRICHOS domain containing 5, with no coding region annotated. The record is from RefSeq and is a predicted model, not a curated record. Lineage: Eukaryota; Metazoa; Chordata; Mammalia; Artiodactyla; Delphinidae.